GUUUUUAUUAGUACAGUAUCACUUAAACACACACAAAGAAUAGGUGAAAAUUGGAAAUUGAGUGAAAAAUUCAAAAUAUAGUCAUACAAAAGUGUCCUUUUUUUACAAAAAGAAGACCAACCAUCAAAACAUGUUAUUUAUAUAUCCUGGAGAUGGUUAUCUCAUCAUAACAGUAGGCUACUUGACUUUUCAAAAUAAAUUUACUGAUUAAGCUAACUUUUACCUUUUCAAAGCUUUUGAGUUGAUUACAAUAAUUAUUUCACUGAAUCCUUGAAAGUUAAUAGCGAUAGUUGGUAAAAAUUCUUCAUUCUAAGUAUUUGGAUUUAGCUUUUGGUUUUACUCAGAGAUGUCUUGACCCAAACGACUUAAAAUGGCAGAAAUUUUCUGAUUUUUUGGGGGACAAACUGUGAAAAUUGCUAACAAAAGUGUGUGCUGGUAUGAAAACACUUGAAUUUACUCAUAGUUUGAUCUAAAGAUAUCAUUUUUUCGAGUUAUUCGUCAACAUUAAAUGAAACAAGAUGGUGCCUGGGCCAGUUUUGGAAUGAUAUUUGAAUCAUGCAACUUUCAGAGAUUAAUAAAACAUAAUACCAACAUCAUCAUCAUCAUGAUACAAUUAUAGUAAUUAUUUAUUUUAAUUGCAAAGAGAAGAAGUGGGUAUAAGAUCAUAAUAUAUGUUUUCAAACCACCUAUGUUGACUAAAAAGGAAAAAUUGCAAAAUAGUGUCAUUUAAUGUUGUAGAAAAAAGACAAAUACAGCUUCUAUUCCUGAUCUGAAAAACAGAUACAAGAUAUAAAGCCUUAACUUAAGAUACCAUAAGAACCUUAACUCAAGGUAGAAGUAAAUUUCAUCAUCCUCCAUUCUCUACUUUUCCAUCCUGUAAGACUUAAAAGUCACCACUUCAACAGAAACUUGUAAGAUAACUUCAUGGAAAAUUUGUUUCAGUCUGGCUCUGACCAUCUAUCCAGAAGCAAUCAUUAACAUGUCAAAUGUAGCUGUAGUGGCCUUUAUUCAAACAAACUUCCUCUUACUGACCCUUAAACCUGAGUGCCCGUAAACAGGACAAUGUCCAACCAGCUAAACAAACGUCCAAAAUGGACCAAGAGUCCAUGGAAUGAAAGGAAUUUAUUCUGUACUCCUACCUACAGUAAAAAAAAGGGGGACAGCUGAUCCUACUCCAGCCUCGGGGAUUUUCACCAGAGUCUCGUCUAUAUUUUAACUGUUUCGGAGACAAACCCAUGAUGAGUGGAGGGAGAAUACUCUGAACAAAACCAUCUGUUGACAGAGGACUCACCUCACCAGAUCAUGUGGUAUCCUCCCAAACUAGAUCACAGAUAAUAUGAUUCAAAACAGAUGCACAGGGCUGCAGUUUGGCAUCAAAUUUAAAGUGACACCGUCUUCUGCCGUGAAGGUAAACUCUGGACUCCGUGCUUGAAGAGAAGUGCCAUUUUUUGCUGCGGUUAGUUUGCAGGUUGAAAAACAAAGACUCUUUUUGCUGUUAAAGGCCAAGAUCAGCACAAACUAAAAGCUGCCAUAACACUCACAGGAGGGAAACACACAUCAUUCUUGUUCUCUUGAUGGUGAUAUUGCUGCACAAACAUUCUUUAUAAGGUAUUUUGUGUUUUAUCCGUGAAACUGUGGAAGAUUCAAAGCAAAUCUUCACAGUUCGGAGUUUGCGUCUGUGAAGGGAACACUGUUGCAAUAGCUGUGGCUUUCUGUUACAGUCAAACCUGAAAUCUGGCAGGCGCUCCCGCCUCAGCUUAGAUGACAUAAAUUAAGCCUGAAGAGCGAGUUUGUCCUGAGCCACAGAAGAACACUCUAAAGGUAAAUGUUACAACAUGUGCUCUCUUAACUCUCUAUCAUAGGAGGGUAUGAAAACAGAAAAUAAAGGAUUACGUUUCUGAAACAAAAACUUGGACGUGUAUGUGAUGGUUUGACUUGGCCUGGGAGUGUGUGUUUGUGUUUGUGUGUGCUGACCUGGCACGUGGCUGCGUGUUGUUACAGGACUGUGAAUAUCUGAGGAGACAGCACACCAGAGAGGAAUGUUGAGUGAGGUGUCCUCACCCCUGGGUGGAUCUGUGCUCUGGUGUCUGUGGAGGAAAACACAGCCUGGAUCCUUACAGGCUUUCAACACCGACAUGUCAAAAUCAGCCCAACUAACACAAAUCAUCUCCACUCUGAUGGAAAUAAUUUGCUCUUUUUUGUGCAUCCAGAUAGAAGACUUACAGUUUUACAGUUUAAACACAGAGAAUAAUGACUCUGUUUUCUUCUUCAAUCUGUGGCCUCUAAUCUGAAAAUCAGUAUCAUUUUUUUAAACACUUUUUAUUAAACUUUAUGUUUAUCCAAAAAGCCAUCUUUCAUUUAUUUAUGAUCUUCGUUAAAGUUGUCCUGUAUUUUCUGUUUAGCUCCUUUUUUUAUCUUCGGAUCACUGUAUAUUUUAUACAUAGUAAAGCGUUUUGAAAGAUUAGUUGUUGGGUUUAAAUCCUAAGAAACAAUCAAAACACGAUCAUGCAUUAUUGACCCGAGUUUUCUUCAUGCCCAAAAAUGUGUUGUUGUAGACAGCAUUCACAAACCAGGACAAUCAAAGCUAUUAAAGAGGGACUAGUAGAGUGUCAGAGAAGUUUAUUCACACAUUCACACAUCAGGUCAGGGGAUCCCAAACUUUUCAGCCCAGGACCUCUAAAAUAAUGGUGUCAGAGACUGGCUCCCAGAAGGACCCCAACCUCCAAUUUGGGAAACUGUAUAACAUAAAACAUUUCAUCUAACACACUCUGAGGAGAUUUUAGUUUGUUUUGAAAAAGUGUCCCUCCUGUACUGAUGCCUCUUCCUAGCCAUCACUAAAAUGAGAUUAUCAGCUACAGGACAGGCUGUUAUUUAUAAUGAACUUUAGUGCCUGUGUUCAGGUCAGGAUUCCCACUUAAAAGUUGAGCCAAAAUUCGACUUUUACCUUUUAAAGUCCAUGUUCAGAACUGAAAUGGUGAAGUUUGACAUUGAGAAGUAAGAUAGCCAGCAGGAGGGAUCUAUUUUCCUUUAAUUUCUGUUAAAAUCUUUUUUUUUUUCUUUCAUGGCUAGUAUGCACAAACAGGAUUAGCCAAAAUAUCUACAAAUUUUUAGGAUGGAAAGUUAUCCAGCCGGGUCUAUGCUACAAAAUAGAUCAAAAUGUCUAAGAGUAGGAUUUAAUGUCUGUGCCAACAUGUCAGUAUUCACUCUUCAUUAAAGACAAAAUAUUAAUCCUAGACAAACAUUACUAAUCAAUCAUUAAUCUUGAUCAAGUUAGUGACUAAUUCCUGCCUUUUCUGAGCAUUUGGGACUUCAUUUCUCCUUCAAAUAUGUCUGUAAUCUGCAUCUAUUACAAUUAUAAGUUUAAUUUUGCAUGAAUUGUCAAAAUUCAAGACAGUAGAAGCAUUUCUAUUCUGUUAUUCUUGUUUGUAAGUCAGAGCAGCACCUCUGGUCUUGAUAUAAAACUAUAAAAUGAUGUAAGAAGUUUUUUAAAAUCCUUUUAGAUGAUAAAAUUCCC
Non-coding RNA from Xyrichtys novacula (pearly razorfish), 3514 nucleotides. Lineage: Eukaryota; Metazoa; Chordata; Actinopteri; Labriformes; Labridae. The record is from the annotation of a GenBank genome assembly.